RNAcentral lists this ribosomal RNA (423 nucleotides) under uncultured bacterium. Its description in RNAcentral is "bacterial SSU rRNA". It matches the Rfam family "Bacterial small subunit ribosomal RNA", at positions 54 to 507 of the family's 1533-position model. The record is from RNAcentral.
CAUGCAAGUCGAACGAUGAACCCGGAGCUUGCUCCGGUGGAUUAGUGGCAACGGGUGAGUAACACGUGAGUAACCUGCCCUUGACUCUGGGAUAACAGUUAGAAAUGACUGCUAAUACCGGAUGAUGGUCUUCGGACCAAAGAUUUAUCGGGCAAGGGAUGAGCCCGCGUAGGAUUAGGUAGUUGGUGGGGUAAAGACCUACCAAGCCGACGAUCCUUAGCUGGUCUGAGAGGAUGAUCAGCCACACUGGGACUGAGACACGGCCCAGACUCCUACGGGAGGCAGCAGUGGGGAAUAUUGGACAAUGGGCGCAAGCCUGAUCCAGCAAUGCCGCGUGAGUGAUGAAGGCCUUCGGGUCGUAAAGCUCUUUUACCAGGGAUGAUAAUGACAGUACCUGGAGAAUAAGCUCCGGCUAACUCCGUG